UGCACUUGUUAGCGGCGACCUCCGGCUCGGCCCCCGGCGGGCGAUGCGGGCGGCGCGGGCGGCCCCCUCCCCCGGCCCGCGUCUCCGGGACGGCUGCGGGCGGCCCCCCCGGGGGCCGGAGGGCUCCCCAGCCCCGAUCUGACAGCCACAGAGGCGGCGGGGGAAGGAGCAGCGGCUCGCAGCCCUCGGCCUUCGCCCCCACCCAGCGCCAGCCGGACGGGGGAGCAGAGCGCCGGAGGGUGGCGGCCUCCGGGGUCUCCGCUCCGGGAAGCCGCUCCGAGCCGGGGGCUUCGGUGACCGCGCAGGCUUUCCCGGGGCCCGGGAGCCACUUAACAGUAGCCCAGCCGAGGCUCGGAUGCAAAAGUUAUUGGUGGCGACUGCUACAAGAGGAGGACCGGAGUCGCUUGGAGAGGGGUGUUGUUGCUAAUGAGCUCUCUCUUCUCCCUCCCUACAAUGAAAGACAAGCCAGACCCCGGGUACCUGGAUGGAUUGGGAGCUGAAGUCUCAGAAACAUCCUGAUAAGUUGCCGACGGCUACCAGCCGAGGUCAGCUGGCCCUGUUAGCGCCUGUCCCAACCAAAGCAGGCCCAGAUCCGCUGCCCCCCAG
This is a long non-coding RNA of Bos taurus (domestic cattle), 606 nucleotides long. The record is from Ensembl. Lineage: Eukaryota; Metazoa; Chordata; Mammalia; Artiodactyla; Bovidae.